This 530-nucleotide ribosomal RNA is filed under the name Enterobacter sp. Its description in RNAcentral is "bacterial SSU rRNA". It matches the Rfam family "Bacterial small subunit ribosomal RNA", at positions 72 to 596 of the family's 1533-position model. Lineage: Bacteria; Pseudomonadati; Pseudomonadota; Gammaproteobacteria; Enterobacterales; Enterobacteriaceae. The record is from RNAcentral.
CAGAGAGCUUGCUCUCGGGUGACGAGUGGCGGACGGGUGAGUAAUGUCUGGGAAACUGCCUGAUGGAGGGGGAUAACUACUGGAAACGGUAGCUAAUACCGCAUAACGUCGCAAGACCAAAGAGGGGGACCUUCGGGCCUCUUGCCAUCAGAUGUGCCCAGAUGGGAUUAGCUAGUAGGUGGGGUAACGGCUCACCUAGGCGACGAUCCCUAGCUGGUCUGAGAGGAUGACCAGCCACACUGGAACUGAGACACGGUCCAGACUCCUACGGGAGGCAGCAGUGGGGAAUAUUGCACAAUGGGCGCAAGCCUGAUGCAGCCAUGCCGCGUGUAUGAAGAAGGCCUUCGGGUUGUAAAGUACUUUCAGCGGGGAGGAAGGUGUUGUGGUUAAUAACCGCAGCAAUUGACGUUACCCGCAGAAGAAGCACCGGCUAACUCCGUGCCAGCAGCCGCGGUAAUACGGAGGGUGCAAGCGUUAAUCGGAAUUACUGGGCGUAAAGCGCACGCAGGCGGUCUGUCAAGUCGGAUGUG